CCCUCUCGCUCCCUCCCUCCCUCCCUCUCCCUUAUUUUUUUUAAAAAAAAGACCCAUUAUUAUUUGCCUCAUCACUAAAUCCUACAGAGUUCAGGGCGGAAAGCGGUGCACAC
Molecule: non-coding RNA, 113 nt
Organism: Myotis davidii
Lineage: Eukaryota; Metazoa; Chordata; Mammalia; Chiroptera; Vespertilionidae
Source: Rfam